RNAcentral lists this ribosomal RNA (443 nucleotides) under uncultured bacterium. RNAcentral's name for it is "partial 16S ribosomal RNA". It matches the Rfam family "Bacterial small subunit ribosomal RNA", at positions 338 to 795 of the family's 1533-position model. The record is from RNAcentral.
CCUACGGGAGGCAGCAGUGGGGGAUAUUGGACAAUGGGGGGAACCCUGAUCCAGCGACACCGCGUGAGUGAAGAAGUAUUUCGGUAUGUAAAGCUCUGUCAGCAGGGAAGAAAGAAAUGACGGUACCUGACCAAGAAGCCCAGGCUAACUACGUGCCAGCAGCCGCGGGAAUACGUAGGGGGCAAGCGUUAUCCGGAAUUACUGGGUGUAAAGGGAGCGUAGACGGUUAAGUAAGUCUGGAGUGAAAGGCCGGGGCCCAACCCCGGAACUGCUCUGGAAACUAUUGAACUUGAGUGCAGGAGAGGUAAGCGGAAUUCCAAGUGUAGCGGUGAAAUGCGUAGAUAUUAGGAGGAACACCAGUGGCGAAGGCGGCUUACUGGACUGUAACUGACGUUGAGGCUCGAAAGCGUGGGGAGCAAACAGGAUUAGAUACCCCUGUAGUC